Molecule: long non-coding RNA, 725 nt
Filed under: Homo sapiens (human)
Lineage: Eukaryota; Metazoa; Chordata; Mammalia; Primates; Hominidae
Description: MAP9 antisense RNA 1
Source: RNAcentral
AGUAACUGGCAUUUGGUUAUGGGGUGGCUGUUUUUCUACGUGGACCAAGCAGGGUCCCAGUUCAAGUUUCUGCUGCCUAUCUGAUAAUCUUGAGGUAUUUAUGAAGGACUCCUUUGAAAGUUCUCUACUGAGUUUCCUUAAGGAAUUGGAAUAUUUUCUACAGGAAUUAGGAGUGUGACUUCAGGAAUGGCUUAUUCCAAGUUGUAAAACUAUCCCCUGUCGUGAAGAGUUUCUCUCUUGACACCUAGGCUGGAAUGCAAUGGCGCAAUCUCAGCUGACUGCAACCUCCACCUCCGAGGUUCAAGCAAUUCUCCUGCCUCAGCCUCCUGAGUAACUGGGAUUACAGGCGCCCGCCACCACACCUGGCUAAUUUUUGUAUUUUUAGUGGAGAUGGGGUUUCACCAAGUUGGCCAGGCUGGUCUCAAACUCCUGAGCUCAAGUGAUCCACCCGCCUAGGCUUCCCAAAGUGCUGGAACUAUAAGCGAGACCAAUUUGUUGAAUUGGACAGCUGGAAGCAAGGAAGGGAAAAAGUAUUUCACCGAAAAGGCAGAAGACUGGCAUCAAUUGCAAGCUGUGGAAUCAAGACAACUUUGGCUGAGUCCCAUUUUAUAUAGGACUAAAGGAGAGUGCAGUCCUCAAAGGCAAUAAUAUUUAUGAGAACAAAGAAGACUGUGGAGAAAUUUUAGGCAGUAGAAGAGAGCAGAAAGGCCAAGAGGAUCAGGGUU